This 446-nucleotide ribosomal RNA is filed under the name uncultured bacterium. Its description in RNAcentral is "partial 16S ribosomal RNA". It matches the Rfam family "Bacterial small subunit ribosomal RNA", at positions 338 to 795 of the family's 1533-position model. The record is from RNAcentral.
CCUACGGGGGGCAGCAGUCGAGAAUCAUUCACAAUGGGGGAAACCCUGAUGGUGCGACGCCGCGUGGGGGAAUGAAGGUCUUCGGAUUGUAAACCCCUGUCAUGUGGGAGCAAAUUAAAAAGAUCGUACCACAAGAGGAAGAGACGGCUACCUCUGUGCCAGCAGCCGCGGUAAUACAGUGGUCUCAAGCGUUGUUCGGAAUCACUGGGCGUAAAGCGUGCGGAGGCUGUUUCGUAAGUCGUGUGUGAACGGCGCGGGCCCAACCCGGGGACGGCAAAGGAUACUGCGAGACUAGAGUGAGGGAGGGGGAACCGGAAUUCUCGGUGUAGCAGUGAAAUGCGUAGAUAUCGAGAGGAACACUCGUGGCGAAGGCGGGUUACUGGACAGUAACUGACGCUGAGGCACGAAGGCCAGGGGAGCGAAAGGGAUUAGAUACCCUUGUAGUC